RNAcentral lists this ribosomal RNA (301 nucleotides) under uncultured bacterium. Its description in RNAcentral is "partial 16S ribosomal RNA". It matches the Rfam family "Bacterial small subunit ribosomal RNA", at positions 509 to 807 of the family's 1533-position model. The record is from RNAcentral.
CAGUCGCCGCGGGAAUACGAAGGGUGCAAGCGUUACUCGGAAUUACUGGGCGUAAAGCGUGCGUAGGUGGUGGUUUAAGUCCGUUGUGAAAGCCCUGGGCUCAACCUGGGAAUUGCAGUGGAUACUGGAUCACUAGAGUGUGGUAGAGGAUAGUGGAACUUCCGGUGUAGCAGUGAAAUGCGUAGAGAUCGGAAGGAACAUCUGUGGCGAAGGCGACUAUCUGGGCCAACACUGACACUGAGGCACGAAAGCGUGGGGAGCAAACAGGAUUAGAUACCCGAGUAGUCCCUGUCUCUUAUAC